Molecule: long non-coding RNA, 1981 nt
Filed under: Sus scrofa (pig)
Lineage: Eukaryota; Metazoa; Chordata; Mammalia; Artiodactyla; Suidae
Description: lncRNA (ENSSSCG00040013021.1)
Source: RNAcentral
AGUUUUCCAGGUUUGAUUUGGGGACUGGGAGACAGCAGCCUAAACUUGAUCAUCCUUUUGGCAAUUACAGGGAGUCACACUCGAGGUAUGCAGAAGUUUCUGAGCCAGGGAUCAAACCCGAGCUGCAGCAGUGACAACAUCAGAUCCUUAUCUGGAAGGCCACCAGGGAACUCCCUGUCCUCCCAUUUUGACUCUGGACUAGACCUGUGACUUGUUUGGGCCAAUUUGAUGUUUGCAAAUAUGACACAAGCAGAGGUUUGAAAAGUGCUAUUGGGUUUGCUUGCUCUGGAUUUUCUGCCAUGAGAACAUGACCAGGCUGCUACCUAGAAAAUGGUUGUGUCAUCCCAGUCAUUUCCCCUGAAAAAAAUUCUAGCCCAACCACAGCCAUCUGACCCCCAGUCGCAAGUGAGCCAAAAUCAGCUAAGCCCAGCCUAGUUCAGCGGAACCCUGCAAAAUAAUGAGUUCAGUGUCCUCAUAUGCCAUAGGGUUUUAUGAUUGUUUGUUAUGCAACAUUAUUGUGACUAAAGGUAGUUGACACACAUAUAUCAUGUUAUUUUAUUCUCACAGCUUUCUGAUGUUACUUCCUUGCAUCCUCUGGAACCCCUGUUGAACCUUUUACCUCCUUAACCUAUCUGUCCACAGAACAAUUCCUGGUUUUCCUUUAGAAAAAUGCAGUUUCUUCCUUCUUGUUCUGUUCUUUUUCUUUAUCUGAUGGCCUGUGUGUAAGUGGGAGAUGAGGUUGGCAUUUUACACUGCUGCCUUCAAAUCAUUUUGCCUCUAUAUUUGGGCAAUGUUAAGCUCUUCCUAAAAUAUAGUCUGGUUAUUGGAGUUCCCGUCUUGGCGCAGUGGUUAACGAAUCCGACUAGGAACCCUGAGGUUGCGGGUUCGAUCCCUGGCCUUGCUCAUGGGUUAACGAUCCGGCGUUGCCGUGAGCUGUGGUGUAGGUUGCAGACGCGGCUCGGAUCCCGCGUUGCUGUGGCUCUGGCGUAGGCUGGUGGCUACAGCUCCGAUUAGACCCCUAGCCUGGGACCCUCCAUAUGCCGCGGGAGCGGCCCUAGAAAAGGCAAAAAGACCAAAAAAAAAAAAUAUAUAUGUAUGUAUAUAUAUAUAUACAUAUAUAUAUCCAGUCCUUAUAAUCUCUUGGUACAGAUUAUCCUCCAAGAUCUAAAAUUCCUCUUUAUUACAUCAUAUAUCAUAACUGCUUAACCUUCCAGUUCUUUAUACUUAUUUACAUAUAUAUACUCCAUCAUUUCACAACUGUCUUAUUAUUUUGCCCUUUUUCCUUCUGUUUCGUGGACUCAGCAAAAUAUUUUCUUUGAAUCUAUCCACAUGCUUUCCUUCUCUGCUCUUAGGCCAAAGUGGCUCAUCCAGAACCGCUACAAAAAAGAAAUCCACAGUGGCCGAAGUGCGCUGCUGUCUCCUUUCCUCCUUUCCCAGACAUCAUCUGUUUGUUCUCACUUAUCCCUGUCCUUUCAUAUCCAUGUGGGACUCUUGCCAACUCAGUUUCCCCUUCUUUCUCUCUUACUAUCUCUUUAAUAUUAUAUUAAAGAGACUUACUUUCCUAUUUAAGUCCUGCAUGAUCCUUCUUCCUGUGCAAAAGCCAGGUAUGUAAGAGCCACCUUCAGGAGUUCCUGAUGGCUUAGCAGUUAAAGAUCUGGCAUUGUCACUGCUGUGGCCUGGGUUGCUGCUGUGCUACCUGUUCGAUCCCUCACCUGGGAACUUCUAUAAUGCUGCGGGUAUAGCCAAAAAAAAGGGGGGAGCCACCUUCAUUUCUUAGAUAGCCUUCUUGAAUCCCCAUUUCCUUUACAGCCCACUGCAUUCAGGCCUAGGCCCACACCAUUUGACUGAAUUUACCCUGUGUUAGGUUAUACACUCCUGAUUGUAAUAGGCUCUCUUUAGACAAAUUUUACAUUUAAAUACUACUAUUGUUUGAUUGUUAAGUUUCUUCCCAUUUUCUCCUAUUAUAAGUAAAGCUGCAAAG